Molecule: ribosomal RNA, 28 nt
Filed under: Phytophthora capsici
Lineage: Eukaryota; Oomycota; Peronosporomycetes; Peronosporales; Peronosporaceae
Description: partial 28S ribosomal RNA
Source: RNAcentral
UGGACCUGAUAUCAGCUAGAUGCCAGCC